GGCCUUCGUGCGCGACGGGCUCACCGGCGCUCUCUCGUGGCGAUGAUCACCUGAUAAGGAAGAGGCCACAGGUUCAAGUCCUGUUAGGCCCACC
This 94-nucleotide transfer RNA is filed under the name Kitasatospora indigofera. RNAcentral describes it as "tRNA-Glu". Lineage: Bacteria; Bacillati; Actinomycetota; Actinomycetes; Kitasatosporales; Streptomycetaceae. The record is from RNAcentral.